UGGGGAAUAUUGCACAAUGGGCGCAAGCCUGAUGCAGCAACGCCGCGUGAACGAUGAAGGUCUUCGGAUCGUAAAGUUCUGUUGCAGGGGAAGAUAAUGACGGUACCUACAGAAGAAGCAACGGCUAAAUACGUGCCAGCAGCCGCGGUAAUACGUAUGUUGCGAGCGUUAUCCGGAAUUAUUGGGCUUAAAGGGCAUCUAGGCGGUAAGACAAGUUGAAGGUGAAAACCUGUGGCUCAACCAUAGGCUUGCCUACAAAACUGUUGAACUAGAGUACUGGAAAGGUGGGUGGAACUACACGAGUAGAGGUGAAAUUCGUAGAUAUGUGUAGGAAUGCCGAUGAUGAAGAUAACUCACUGGACAGAAACUGACGCUGAAGUGCGAAAGCUAGGGGAGCAAACAGG
RNAcentral lists this ribosomal RNA (404 nucleotides) under Verrucomicrobiota bacterium. RNAcentral describes it as "Verrucomicrobia bacterium partial 16S ribosomal RNA". It matches the Rfam family "Bacterial small subunit ribosomal RNA", at positions 355 to 776 of the family's 1533-position model. Lineage: Bacteria; Pseudomonadati; Verrucomicrobiota. The record is from RNAcentral.